RNAcentral lists this ribosomal RNA (253 nucleotides) under Roseburia inulinivorans DSM 16841. RNAcentral describes it as "partial 16S ribosomal RNA". It matches the Rfam family "Bacterial small subunit ribosomal RNA", at positions 524 to 776 of the family's 1533-position model. Lineage: Bacteria; Bacillati; Bacillota; Clostridia; Lachnospirales; Lachnospiraceae. The record is from RNAcentral.
UACGUAUGGUGCAAGCGUUAUCCGGAUUUACUGGGUGUAAAGGGAGCGCAGGCGGAAGGCUAAGUCUGAUGUGAAAGCCUGGGGCUCAACCUCGGUACUGCAUUGGAAACUGGUCAUCUAGAGUGUCGGAGGGGUAAGUGGAAUUCCUAGUGUAGCGGUGAAAUGCGUAGAUAUUAGGAGGAACACCAGUGGCGAAGGCGGCUUACUGGACGAUAACUGACGCUGAGGCUCGAAAGCGUGGGGAGCAAACAGG